AGAGUUUGAUUCUGGCUCGGAACGAACGCUGGCGGCAUGGAUUAGGCAUGCAAGUUGAACGAACUCCUUCGGGAGUGAGUAGCGAAAGGGUGAGGAACGCGUGAGUAAUCUGCCCAUAAGUUGGGGACAACAGUUGGAAACGACUGCUAAUACCGAAUGUGGCUAUUGACCCGCAUGGGUUUUUUGGCUAAAGAUUUAUCGCUUAUGGAUGAGCUCGCGUCCCAUUAGCUAGUUGGUGAGGUAACGGCCCACCAAGGCUACGAUGGGUAGCUGGUCUGAGAGGAUGGUCAGCCACACUGGGACUGAGACACUGCCCAGACUCCUACGGGAGGCUGCAGUCGAGAAUCUUGGGCAAUGCGCGAAAGCGUGAACCCCCGGCAAUGCCGCGUGCAUGAUGAAGGCCCUCGGGUCGUAAAAUGCUGUCUCCCGUGACGAAUAAUGACGGUAGCGGGGAAGGAAGCCACGGCUAACUACGUGCCAGCCGCUGC
RNAcentral lists this ribosomal RNA (488 nucleotides) under uncultured bacterium. RNAcentral describes it as "bacterial SSU rRNA". It matches the Rfam family "Bacterial small subunit ribosomal RNA", at positions 8 to 518 of the family's 1533-position model. The record is from RNAcentral.